AGACUUGAGCAGAAAUCCUGAAAAGUGAGACCCUUUGGAGUUAGUGUGAAGACAGGAUGUGUCACAAUUCUGUGAUAAAAUGAUUCCAAAAAGAUUCACUUUUUUGGCUCAUGACUCAAGCACAGUCCACCAGAUUUGGGAAGACAUGACAACAGGAGCUUCAGUAGGCUGCUCACACUGGAUCCACGGUGAGGAGGCAGCAACAGGGGUCUCCAGUCUCUCAGUUCCAGAGAACGCAGCUCCAGCCUGGGAUGGAAAAAUAACCUGGAGGAGGUCAGAGAGCAGAAGCAUGACUUUGGAAACAAAUCCUCAUUCACUCCCCUUGUGAGCUCAUUCAUCAAACUACCGGAUAUAUGUUAAGACUUUAUCUUCUAAGGUCUCACCCAGAACGUAUGCGGCAAAACCAAAAAUAGUGCCUGCAUAUUCAAGGGCAGACGGAAGGAACUGCUGGCUACAGGGAGCAUGGGGCUUUGCACAAUGGCACAGUUCAGCUGCUGAGGCCUUUUGCCGGCCCCCUCCUCUCUCUGACCUGCUGACCUUACUCUUCUGGAGGCCACUGUGGCCAGUGACUCACCCUGAAAAAGUGGUGGAUUAUACUGUCAACCUUGAAACUCUGUUUUCUAAUUCUUCUUCCCUCUGCCGCACUGCUAGGCAUGAGUCCCACCCUCUGUCCUACAUGAGCAAUGGUGGUACAGGGAUGAGCAUGAGUCUAUGGCCAUCCAGGUACAGAACCGUUCCUGAAUGUGGGUAUUAUCCUCAUUCAUCAUUUCCAUCUAGGUGGUAAUGGAGCUCUGGCCUUUACACACCAUGUAUAUCCUAUCUAGAACUGUCAGGGAGAAUGGGGAGUGAGGCUGCCCAAUCCUUUAUCUUCUUGGUGUGAACACCCACUUAACACCUCUGCUUACGGCAGGUUCACAUAAUAAAUCCCCAUCAUGUAGUAUUGGAAUGGCUCUGAUUAGUCGUUGCUUUUUAUUAAAAAAAAAAGUUUUAUUUUC
This 995-nucleotide long non-coding RNA is filed under the name Mus musculus (house mouse). RNAcentral's name for it is "predicted gene, 33255". The record is from RNAcentral. Lineage: Eukaryota; Metazoa; Chordata; Mammalia; Rodentia; Muridae.